AUUGAACGCUGGCGGCAGGCCUAACACAUGCAAGUCGAGCGGAUGAAGGGAGCUUGCUCCUGGAUUCAGCGGCGGACGGGUGAGUAAUGCCUAGGAAUCUGCCUGGUAGUGGGGGAUAACGUCCGGAAACGGGCGCUAAUACCGCAUACGUCCUGAGGGAGAAAGUGGGGGAUCUUCGGACCUCACGCUAUCAGAUGAGCCUAGGUCGGAUUAGCUAGUUGGUGGGGUAAAGGCCUACCAAGGCGACGAUCCGUAACUGGUCUGAGAGGAUGAUCAGUCACACUGGAACUGAGACAAGGUCCAGACUCCUACGGGAGGCCGCAGUGGGGAAUAUUGGACAAAGGGCGAAAGCCUGAUCCAGCCAUGCCGCGUGUGUGAAGAAGGUCUUCGGAUUGUAAAGCACUUUAAGUUGGGAGGAAGGGCAGUAAGUUAAUACCUUGCUGUUUUGACGUUACCAACAGAAUAAGCACCGGCUAACUUCGUG
Molecule: ribosomal RNA, 484 nt
Filed under: uncultured bacterium
Lineage: Bacteria
Description: partial 16S ribosomal RNA
Rfam family: Bacterial small subunit ribosomal RNA
Source: RNAcentral